GGAUGGUUAUGUCCUGUUCUAAGUGUUCACAGCGGUCCUUGAUGUUCCACACAACGCAAUUAAGGCACGCGGUGAAUGCCAAGAACAAAGAUAUAUAAAAU
Molecule: non-coding RNA, 101 nt
Organism: Saccoglossus kowalevskii
Lineage: Eukaryota; Metazoa; Hemichordata; Enteropneusta; Harrimaniidae
Gene: Mir124
Product: microRNA mir-124
Source: RefSeq, marked provisional